GGGGAAUCUUGCACAAUGGGGGCAACCCUGAUGCAGCGACGCCGCGUGAGCGAUGAAGCCCUUCGGGGCGUAAAGCUCUUUCGACCGGAACGAUAAUGACGGUACCGGUAGAAGAAGCUGCGGCUAACUACGUGCCAGCAGCCGCGGCAAUACGUAGGGUGCAAGCGUUAAUCGGAAUUACUGGGCGUAAAGCGUGCGCAGGCGGUUCGGAAAGAAAGGUGUGCAAUCCCAGGGCUUAACCUUGGAACUGCACUGUUAACUACCGGGCUCGAGUACGUCAGAGGGGGGUAGAAUUCCACGUGGAGCAGUGAAAUGCGUAGAGAUGUGGAUGAAUACUGAUGGCGAAGGCAGCCCCCUGGGAUGAUGCUGACGCUCAUGCACGAAAGCGUGGGGAGCAAACA
This 401-nucleotide ribosomal RNA is filed under the name uncultured bacterium. RNAcentral describes it as "bacterial SSU rRNA". It matches the Rfam family "Bacterial small subunit ribosomal RNA", at positions 356 to 774 of the family's 1533-position model. The record is from RNAcentral.